Non-coding RNA from Pelobates cultripes (western spadefoot toad), 82 nucleotides. Lineage: Eukaryota; Metazoa; Chordata; Amphibia; Anura; Pelobatidae. The record is from the annotation of a GenBank genome assembly.
ACCCCAGGUCCUCAAAAUAUUUUACCAAAUUUAUUUGGUAAAAAAAAAAAAUAUAUGGUAAAAUAUUUUGAGGACCUGGGGU